GCAGUCGUGGCCGAGUGGUUAAGGCGUCUGACUAGAAUUCAGAUUCCCUCUGGGAGCGUAGGUUCGAGUCCUACCGACUGCG
RNAcentral lists this transfer RNA (82 nucleotides) under Schistocerca americana (American grasshopper). RNAcentral describes it as "tRNA-Ser". It matches the Rfam family "tRNA". Rfam says of the family: Transfer RNA (tRNA) molecules are approximately 80 nucleotides in length. Their secondary structure includes four short double-helical elements and three loops (D, anti-codon, and T loops). The record is from RNAcentral. Lineage: Eukaryota; Metazoa; Arthropoda; Insecta; Orthoptera; Acrididae.